UGGUGGUGUAAUCCGAUAACUUUAUUUUAAUUGAAAAUGGAGGCAUAACAUGUCCUAGAAAAAUAAAGAUUUAGGAUACAAAGGAGACACAGCGGCAGGGCUGCCCCCAGGGAUGAGGGAAUCUUUGGUCUGGGCCGGAUAAUGAGGACAAGGGCUUGAGUCGAGGGGAGCUGGUGAAGGAAGACCCCCGUCUCCCCACAGCUGCCCCACCCCCCGCCCCUGGCAGGAAAUGCCACACUGGGGAGGGUCUCCAGUCUCAGGGGCGCGGGGCUGCCUGUCCUCCACCUUCGGAUUCCAGGCAGUUGUGACAACACCAGCUAUCGGCAGAGCUAUUAAUAGUGUUUCAGGGAGUGACAGGGAGAGGGCUCUGGGGGCUGGAAGUCCGGCCCUGGGGCAGGGUGUUCCGCUUACAGCUAGUACCAAGUGGAGGGGGCAGGGCCCCUGAGUCAGGACCCUGAGUCCCCCACGUAUAUGGCAGGGCACAGCAUGGGGAGGGCUGUAACAGAGAGGCCUCCCAUCCAAAGGGGGAUGGAGACCUGGACAGGAGGUGGCCGGGGAUACAACCCCCAGCACCACCAGGGCUUGGAGAGGCCACCCAGGCAGAAGGAUGUGGUGACUGGGGUCUUCAGCAACCGCAUUUCUGGGGCUCCCCCCUCCCAUUCCUGUCCCUGCGUCUUCAGCACCAAUGUCGGGAGAGGCCACGGGGCCACACUGGGUCACAGUUCCAAGGGCUCCUCCACAGGCACCGACUGGAGCUGGGUCAGAACCUUGGCCUCAGCUUCCAACCCCUCGUCAACCUCACCCCCUGCGGUGGCCCCCAGGAGCAGCCCCUCAGGGUCGGGGUCUGGCAGCCUCAGCACGGUGUGGGGGGCCUGUGUCCCCAGCCCCUUUUCCGCUUCCAGCAGCCCCUCUGUUCCUGCGCUUAGUUCCAGCCCUGCUGACCAGACAGGCACGGCCGCGGGUGACAACAUCAGCCCCUCUGGUGGGGGCGCCGGGAAGUUGGGCAGGAGGCCAGGGGAGUCAGGGGAGAAGGGCAGGCUGGUGCUGGAGGUGGUGGCAGCGGCGGGGGGUGGCUGCUGUGCAGAAAGGGUGCCUAGGGCGUGAGCCUCUGGGAGAGCAGGGCUGGGGGCCACCGGGAGGCCUCCCUCAGGCACGGAGAUGGCCGUCUCUGGCUUCAGUGGCAAGGUAGCCAUGUUUUGCAACUUUGGGAAGUUCCUCCCUCCCUCUCUUCCUCCCUCGGGCUUUCCCCAGCCUCCUCCCCCACCUGUCCCCCCUUUUCGCCCCCACUCCCCGCUCUUCUCGAUCUUCUUUCUGGCCGACCCUGCGCCCCACGCCGGGAAGGCGAGAUCCAGCUCUCCACUCGGGUCUCUGUCCCCUUGUGUGUGUCCGUCCCCCUCCCGUC
This is a long non-coding RNA of Homo sapiens (human), 1402 nucleotides long. NCBI's taxonomy places the organism in Eukaryota, Metazoa, Chordata, Mammalia, Primates, Hominidae. The record is from Ensembl.